RNAcentral lists this ribosomal RNA (497 nucleotides) under uncultured bacterium. RNAcentral's name for it is "partial 16S ribosomal RNA". It matches the Rfam family "Bacterial small subunit ribosomal RNA", at positions 28 to 507 of the family's 1533-position model. The record is from RNAcentral.
GAUGAACGCUGGCGGCGUGCUUAAUACAUGCAAGUCGAGCGAACAGACGAGGAGCUUGCGGCGCUGACGUUAGCGGCGGACGGGUGAGUAACACGUGGAUAACCUACCUAUAAGACUGGGAUAACUUCGGGAAACCGGAGCUAAUACCGGAGAAUAUAUUGAACCACAUGGUGCAAUAGUGAAAGACGGUGGUGGUGUCACUUAUAGAUGGAUCUGCGCCGCAUUGGCUAGUUGGUAAGGUAACGGCUUACCAAGGCAACGAUGCGUAUCCGACCUGAUAGGGUGAUCGGCCGCCCUGGAACUGAGACACGCCCCAGACUCCUACGGGAGGCAGCAGUAGGGCAUCUUCCGCAAUGGGCGAAAGCCUGACGGAGCAACGCCGCGUGAGUGAUGAAGGUCUUCGGAUCGUAAAACUCUGUUAUUAGGGAAGAACAAAUGUGUAAGUAACUAUGCACGUCUUGACGGUACCUAAUCAGAAAGCCACGGCUAACUACGUG